GGGUUUGAUCCUGGCUCAGGAUGAACGCUAGCGGCGUGCUUGACACAUGCAAGUCGAACGAACCGACGCCUGGUGAAAGAUCGGUGAGGGCGAGGACAGGGAGAAAUCUCAAGAAUUGCUGGAUCUGAUUGGAAACCAUCAGUUGGUUAGUGGCAAACGGGUGAGUAACACGUGGGUGACCUACCCCGUAGUGGGGAACAACUGUUGGAACGGCAGCUAAUUCCGCAUACGGUCCGACAUUCAUUUGUCGGAGUAAAGGGCUUCGGCCCGCUUCGGGAGGGGCUCGCGGCUGAUUAGCUAGUUGGUGGGGUAAUGGCUCACCAAGGCGAUGAUCAGUAGCUGGUCUGAGAGGACGAUCAGCCACACUGGCACUUAGAUACGGGCCAGACUCCUACGGGAGGCAGCAGUGAGGAAUAUUGCGCAAUGGGCGAAAGCCUGACGCAGCAACGCCGCGUGAGCGAUGAAGGCCUUCGGGUUGUAAAGCUCUUUUCUGGGGGAUGAGGAAGGACAGUACCUCAGGAAUAAGCCUCGGCUAACUACGUGCCAGCAGCCGCGGUAAAACGUAGGAGGCGAGCGUUAUCCGGAUUCACUGGGCGUAAAGCGCGUGCAGGCGGUGUCUUAAGUCGGAUAUGAAAUCUCCCGGCUCAACUGGGAGGGUGUGUUCGAUACUGGGGCACUUGAGGGCAGGAGAGGGAAGCAGAAUUCCCGGUGUAGCGGUGGAAUGCGCAGAUAUCGGGAGGAAUACCAGUGGCGAAGGCGGCUUCCUGGCCUGUUCCUGACGCUGAGACGCGAAAGCUAGGGUAGCAAACGGGAUUAGAUACCCCGGUAGUCCUAGCCGUAAACGUUGGAUACUAGGUGUUGGGGGUAUUGACCCCCUCAGUGCCGCAGCUAACGCGAUAAGUAUCCCGCCUGGGGACUACGGCCGCAAGGUUAAAACUCAAAGGAAUUGACGGGGGCCCGCACAAGCAGCGGAGCGUGUGGUUUAAUUCGAUCCAACACGAAGAACCUUACCUGGGUUUGACAUGCUGGUGGUAGUGACGCGAAAGCCGAACGACCCCUCGGGGAGCCAGCACAGGUGCUGCAUGGCUGUCGUCAGCUCGUGCCGUGAGGUGUCGCGUUAAGUCGCGUAACGAGCGCAACCCUUAUUGCCAGUUAAAUAUCUCUGGCGAGACUGCCGGUUAAAUACCGGAGGAAGGUGGGGAUGACGUCAAGUCAGCAUGGCCUUUAUGUCCAGGGCUACACACACGCUACAAUGGCCGGUACAAUGGGUUGCCAAGCCGCGAGGCGGAGCUAAUCCUAAAAAACCGGUCCCAGUUCGGAUUGGAGGCUGCAACCCGCCUCCAUGAAGCCGGAGUUGCUAGUAACCGCAGGUCAGCUAUACUGCGGUGAAUACGUUCCCGGGCCUUGUACACACCGCCCGUCACGUCAUGGAAGCUGGCAAUACCUGAAGCCGGUGGGCUAACCGCAAGGAGGCAGCCGUCGAAGGAAGGGUCGGUAACUGGGACGAAGUC
This 1511-nucleotide ribosomal RNA is filed under the name metagenome. Its description in RNAcentral is "bacterial SSU rRNA". It matches the Rfam family "Bacterial small subunit ribosomal RNA". The record is from RNAcentral.